GACGAACGCUGGCGGCGUGCUUAACACAUGCAAGUCGAGCGGUAAGGCCCUUUCGGGGUACGACGAGCGGCGAACGGGUGAGUAACACGUGGGUGACCUGCCCUCAGCUCUGGGAUAAGCCUGGGAAACCGGGUCUAAUACUGGAUAUGACUCCAUGACGCAUGUUGUGGGGUGGAAAGCCUUGUGCGGCUGAGGAUGGGCCCGCGGCCUAUCAGCUUGUUGGUGAGGUAAUGGCUUACCAAGGCGA
Molecule: ribosomal RNA, 247 nt
Filed under: uncultured Actinomycetes bacterium
Lineage: Bacteria; Bacillati; Actinomycetota; Actinomycetes
Description: uncultured actinobacterium partial 16S ribosomal RNA
Rfam family: Bacterial small subunit ribosomal RNA
Source: RNAcentral